This is a long non-coding RNA of Ictalurus punctatus (channel catfish), 2406 nucleotides long. Lineage: Eukaryota; Metazoa; Chordata; Actinopteri; Siluriformes; Ictaluridae. The record is from Ensembl.
AGGGUGCGAUGCAGCCCGACAUUGCUCAUUUUCCUAUAACAGCGUGCCCUGGAGGGCUUUAUUUCUGUAACAUCACAGCAAUAACUGAUCAAUGAACUGCACAGCGUACUUUAUCAGUUUGUAAAGACAUUUAAUAUUGCGGACAAGAGAGACAAGUUCAUGUUAUCACUUCGCAGCUAUAAAUAGUUGCUCCCGCUCCAGACUUUCUUUUUCUCUCGCAAAGUGAAUAAAACAACAACAAAAUAAUACAUGCAUCUUCCCAUGUUACAUCAGUAUGCUCAGUCCUAAAGACGACCGGUGGAAAAAUGACUGACUAUUACAGAGUGCUAACACUGGAGACUUUUUCUUUUCCAUAAAUGUUGAACAAACAUCUUCCAGAAAAUGUCACAUCAAUGAUUAAAAGCGUUCUUCGUUAAAUACAAUUUUUUAAUCAUUCGGCUUAGAUUACAUGAAGAGUAUGCCAUCGAAGUCGUUGUUACUAUAGAAACCAGUACAUAUCAGAGCACAUAAAUAUAAGCACUGCUGUCAGAAAAAAUGAAUUCGAAUUGUCUGACCAAUCAGAAUCGAGAAUCGAACAGUGGUGUGGUAUAACCGUUUUCCAUUCAAGACAUUUCCUCUCUAAAUAAAACGUGGGACGUUUUGUAAAAUUUACCUAUAGCACUGUGUCUCAUCCUCUCUCACACCAUUUCUCUUCCCCUUCCUGUCUGCAGGUAAACAUUAUUUCUCUUGAGUCAGACAGUGUUGUGAAGGAGAAAUUCCAGGGGAAAGGUGGACUCAAGCUGUGAAAAGCGACCACCACAUUCACCAGGGUACUUUAUUUUCAAGCUCCAGCAACUAAGAAGAAAGGAGAGAAUGAGAGGGAGGGAAAUAAGAAGGUACUUUAUAUUUUGAAGGCUUGGGUGAAAAAGAGACUUUGGAAAGAAACUUCAGAUUAAUAGAGGUCAACGAUGUGGAUUUAAAAAAAAACAACAAAAAGCAACAACAUUAACAUAGACAUCAACUUAUAAAUUAAAUAAGAACAAGCCAGUCAAGGACACUGCGUUAGGGAUUUGGUUGUUUUUUUUUCUCCUCCCUGUGUGAAAUAUUCUCCACCACUCACCCGGAUACCUGGAAACCACAGGGACACAAAGCCAGCCAAUCAGCCCUCAUGGGAACUAGAGCCCUGGCCUCUGAUUGGUCAUGUGUGCCCCCUAAGCUCAUUAUUAUAUCAGCGUGUCCUUCACUGUGUUGUCUGGCUACUAUCAGGCCAACGACGUGCCAGCGCUCUCCCCCACAAACAACAUUUUAUUGGAGGAGAAACAGACAGAAAGUGGAUUACUGACAACCAGAAAAUAAGGAUAAAAAAAUACUUAAGUUGUAGAGAUGAGAGAAGAAAUCCAUCUAAUGAUAAUAACACACACAAAAACACGGACCUGGAAAAAGCAUUAAUCAGCAUUUAUCCAUAUGCAAAACAUUCAAGUUCGAAUGUAUAUUUGACAUGCAAAUAUCUGUACAACGUCCGUGUUCACAAACACUGACAACAUGCACGCUCACUGUGAGGACCUUCCACUGGCAAAUCCACUCAUUGUAGCUAAAUAAUACUUUGCCUACAACUAAAUACAACAACCUCAGUAACUAAAAUAUUUUGACACUUAAAUUUUUAAAUAAAAGCUGUAAAAACAAAACAAAAACAAAGAAAAAACUGUUUUUCCUCAUGGGGACCAGCCAAAUGUCCCCAUAAGGCCAAAGCACACACACACACACACACCUGUUGUGGUUGUCUUGAAUAAAGGAACACACACAGACGCUUUCAUCCUUUGCCGUCUCUAAAGUAAAUGAGCUACAGUAAUUGUUUCAUUAUGACUGUCUAUUGAAAUCGUUUCCCUUUUCUCUCCUCCUCCCUUUGUUCUUCACAUCCGGGCUCCUCAUUUCCUUGUUUUUCUCCUGUCAUGUGCUGUUUUUUACUACUAACCUGGUCACCACCUACUAGACCUCCAACACACUCUCACAUGUCUGUAAGGUAAAUAAAACUCAGCAUGACAGUGUUUGUAUUUUUAACAACUUCUUAAGUAAUACAACUUAACUCGCUCUCAGAUCAGUUCUUUCCUCCAUUACUCGAUAUCCACAUCGGGUCAUUCUUUUCUAUAUUUACAGUUCGGACAAUAACAGCAAUCAUGGAAGAGAACAGCCUUCACAUGCAUCAAAGUUGCUAGACCUUUCGGUUCUGGCUAUGAAAAACCACAACACAAGCAGAAGAAGACAUUUUAACAUGACUAGUUCCCAACCCUGGUGCUGGAGCACAGUUAAGUGUUCCCCCUGGUGCUGGAGCACAGUUAAGUGUUCUCCCAGGUGCUGGAGCACAGUUAAGUGUUCUCCCAGGUGCUGGAGCACAGUUAAGUGUUCUCCCAGGUGCUGGAGCACAGUUAA